CGCUGCCGGGCCCUGGCCUUGGCCUGCGAGGUGGGGGUGCUGUUUAAUAAAAAUACCGAUUCCUGGAAGCCACACCUGCGCAGGGAGCUGGGGUCCCCUUUCGUCCUUCCAAUCCCAUGUCUGUUAGUGCCCCGGUGUUACAGACGGAGGAGCGCUGUGAGCAUCAGACGAGAGAGGAAGCGAGGAGGCCAGUGAGGAAACUUGGAGCAGGCAGAGAUGUCGCAGGGAGAGUUGCCAAGGUCACACUGAGCCCGAGGUGCCUGUGGACCUCAGGACGCAGUCAGAGAAGCGACUCUGGGCGGAAGAGAUUCAGGGAGAAACCCUCAAAGUUGAGGGAGGCUGAUGUCUGACGUCGGAGGCGCUGGAGACAGCAGAUGAAAGUGAUUUGGAAAUGAAUGGACGGCACAAAUGACAGGUUGGGUGCGAAC
This is a long non-coding RNA of Pteropus alecto (black flying fox), 428 nucleotides long. RefSeq lists it as uncharacterized. The transcript is spliced from 3 exons. The record is from RefSeq and is a predicted model, not a curated record. NCBI's taxonomy places the organism in Eukaryota, Metazoa, Chordata, Mammalia, Chiroptera, Pteropodidae.